Molecule: long non-coding RNA, 3716 nt
Organism: Ictalurus punctatus (channel catfish)
Lineage: Eukaryota; Metazoa; Chordata; Actinopteri; Siluriformes; Ictaluridae
Exons: 3
Source: RefSeq, a predicted model, not a curated record
CCCCCCCCCCCCCCGAUACAAAAUCUGCCCCGUGAACGUGUGUAUUGACGCCUCUACACAGCCAAAACCCCCCUCCAGCUUUCAAUCUGAGGAAGAUGUCACCUUCUCUGACCUGGUCCCCGACCAUUCUUCCCUCUUCUCACCUACCAGUCCGCCCCACUCUCAGUGGUCCUCUCACUUCACCUUUGCUGACUUUCCCAUGUUCCCAGGACGCACCCCAUUUUCUUCCCCCCACCACUCUCCUCAAGAUUACGCACCCACCAGUCCUGUGAAUUAUCAAUAAAACUACAUAUUACUCAUACUAAGUGUCCCUCAUGUUUAUUUCAUGUCAUUUUUAUCCACAACACAGCCCACUUGAAGUACAUCGACAAUGUCUCGAGAGUCCUUGAAUGGAUGAAAUCACUGUGCCAGCGGUACAAGGUCACUCCGGCCAAGUUAUUUCUGACGCGUGUUUCCAAGUUCCUCCAUUAACUCGAUGAGUAACUGUCCAAGGGCCGAGUUGGCUCCACGAGGCUGUGGAGUCUCCAGAGACUGCUGCAGUGGGAGUGCAGACAUCUGUCCGGUCGAGUCGUGCUCCACAGGCAAGGCGUGCGAGCGGAGAAGAGUGAGGGAGUACUUACAGCUCCUGCACGGCAAACUGUCGGACGCUGUCCCUGUUUCACUGGAUGAUCUGAACUCGUCCAGCAGACCCGGACAUGCUCAACCAUUGCAUCGGGCUGCUGUGUGCUCACUUCUUUUCGGUCAGCGGACACAGGACCGGAGUCCUGCAGAACCUCACGACUGAGGAGUUUGAGAACCUCGAGAAGGCUGACUCUUUCUGAUCAAUGUGAAGCAGCACAAACCUGCCUCUGCUUUUGGACUCGCUAAGCUAGCCAUCACCAAGCUGGAGCUGAAGUGGCUGAAAGCUUUCUGCCGCCUGAGGAAGCAUAUGCCGGGAUAUGAGACUUCUGUGGGGUGGCUUUUCUUUUCUGGCACACAGGCCAGGAUUUCUGCGCAUGUCAAGCUUGCCCUGCGGGCACUCGUGGGAAGAGACAUCACUGUGUCGGACAUCCACACAGCUCUAGCAACCUACUGCGAACGCAAAAGACGAACAACGCAUGCUCGUGACCAAGACGAUGUGCUACAGCAAUUAGCUGAGUCGUGGAGCUGUCGGUCAGCGAGGCGCACUCCGCCCAGUCUGCGCUAGAGUCCGCUGCGGGCAUAGGUGCUACAUAGGCCGGUUGUUUUUGGCUAAUGGCCCUGUGUGUGUGUGUGUGUGUGUGUGUGUGUGUGUGUAAAUAUUUCAUUAAAAUGUUUGAACUGAAUUCCCCUUGUCAAAAGUACAGUAGCAUCACUCAUGGCGAGACCACACAACCGAAAUUUCCGAAAGUACAUGGACUGAGCUCCGGGCGAAGUUCGCAGGCUUUGCCCAGGGAGAGAGCGUCAAUUAGCUGAAUUUUUUCCUCGUUGAUUUCAAUGGUUUAUGCGUUCCUAGUCAGGGCAAGCUACUGUUUGUUGCACCUCUUCCAUCCUCCUCCACGGUCUGAAGCCAGCUGCAGCCACCUUUUCAUCAGCGUCACAAUCUCAGCACUUGUUGCCCUUGAUGUUAACGGGUUCUUUCGGACAGCAUCUAAUGAACAUGAGGCAAAACAGUUGACAACUUCUGCAAUUCGAGACACGCUAAAAAGGCUAUUUAUACUUCUACGUCAGACCUUUGCGUUGCCUGAUGUGCACCUCUAAAAAAAACUGUAAUGACGCGUCGUGUGUAUGCAGACAACAGUUGUGAUUGGUCAUUUGUGCAAACAGAGACCCUCCCCAGGAUGAUAAAUAUAUCUGCAGUAAUUUCAUAUUCACUGAGAAUAAAUGUAAUGAAGCAGAUUGCUUGUAGCUUAUAAUAAAAGUGCUGAGGCUUAUUACACACUUAUUCAAGUUACAGUUAAAUAAUGAAUAUGGGCUUAAAGUGCAGUCCCUCAUCUUUAAUUUAAAUGUAUUCACAUCCACAUUGGAGGAAGGGUUUAGGAAUUACAGCUCUUUAAUAUGUAGCCCCCUCUUUUUCAAGGGACCAAAAGUAAUUGGCCAUUUUACUCAAAAGCUGUUUCAUGGACAGGUGUGGGCUAUUCCUUCGCUAUUUCAUCAGUUAAGCACAGGGUAGCUGCAGGUAUCAGCACUUACAUUUUUGGAAAUUUCUUGCCUAUGAUAUUAAAAAGUAUUAGAUUUGAAGACCUGCACAUCACUUCAGUCAUGCUACACGAUGCAUCAGCUUUAAUGGAUUGUGUUCACGCAUAUACAUCCAUUCCUGGGUUUAAGUAAACUACAGCAGGGUAAACUUCUAUAGAGGUAGAUGGGAGACCAGAGCAAAUAUCCUGUUUGCAUUACCAUUUGCUCCAACAGUGAAAGAAAAAUCCAGUAUUUCCUUUCCAUGACUUUCCAGGAAAGGAGAAAUCUAGAGAGAUAAGACUUUAAGGACCUGCAGACAGCCUGUAAGCAGGUAAAAGGUCUGGAGUUGAUUCCAGGUGUGGCAUUCACAUUUGGAAGCUGUUGUUGUGAACGCACAGCAUGCGGUCAAAGGAGCUCUCAAUGCAAGUGAAACAGGCCAUCCUUAGGCUGUAAAAAAAGAUCCAUCAGAGAGAUAGCAGGAACAUUAGGAGUGACCAAAUCAACAGUUUGGUACAGUCUGAGAAAAAAAGAACACACUGGUGAGCUCUGCCACAGAAAGGCCUGGAUGUCCACAGAAAACAAAAGUGGUGGAUGAUCGUAGGAUCCUUUCCAUGGUAAAGAAAAACCCCUUCACAACACCAGCCAAGUGAAGAACACUCUCCAGGAGGCAGGCGUAUCAUUAUCCAAGUCUCCCAUGAAGAGACGACUUCACAAGAACAAAUACAGAGUUCACCACAAGGUGCAAACCAUUCAUAAGCCUCAAGAACAGAAUGGCCAGAUUAGAUUUUGCCAAAAAAAAAAACAUCUAAACAAGCCAGACCAAGCAUUCUUUGGGCAGAUGAAACUAAGAUCAAACUGUACCAGAAUGAUUGGAACAGCUCGUGAUCCAAAGCAUACCUCAUCAUCUGUAAAACACGGUGGAGGGAGUGUGAUGGCAUGGGCAUGCAUGGCUUCCAAUGGCACUGGGUCACUAGUAGUUAUUGGUGAUGUGACAGAAGAUGCAAUCAGAUGAAUUGUAUGUGAAUAUAUUGUCUGCUCAGAUUCAGCCAAAUUCAGUGAAGUUAAUUGGACGGCGCUUCACUUUACACAUGGACAAUGACUCAAAACAUACUGCAAAAGCAACCCAGGAGUUUUUUUAAAACAAAGAAGUGGAAUAUUCUGCAAUGGACAAGUCAGUCACCUGAUCUCAACCCGGUCGAGCAUGCAUUUCACAUGCUGAAGACAAAAUUCAAGGCAGAAAGAACCAUGAACAUACAACACCUGAAGACAGCUGCAGUAAAGGCCUAGCAAAGCAUCACAAAGGAGGAAACCCAGCAUUUGGUGAUGUCUGUGGGUUCCAGACUUCAAGCAGUCAUUGCCUGCAAAGUAUUCUUGACAAAGUAUUAAAAAUGAACAUUUUAUUUAUGAUUAUGUUCAUCUGUCCAAUUACAUAUGAGCCCCUUAAAUAAGGGAACUGUGUAUAAAAAUGGUUGCAAUUCCUAAACGUUUCAUAUGAUAUUUUUGUUCAACCCCUUGAAUUAAAGCUGACGGUUGCUGGCCUAAAUUUAGCCAAUUACCCAAAGACACUUAAAAUUCAACAU